Molecule: ribosomal RNA, 2560 nt
Filed under: Escherichia coli
Lineage: Bacteria; Pseudomonadati; Pseudomonadota; Gammaproteobacteria; Enterobacterales; Enterobacteriaceae
Description: bacterial LSU rRNA
Rfam family: Bacterial large subunit ribosomal RNA
Source: RNAcentral
CUGUGAGCUCGAUGAGUAGGGCGGGACACGUGGUAUCCUGUCUGAAUAUGGGGGGACCAUCCUCCAAGGCUAAAUACUCCUGACUGACCGAUAGUGAACCAGUACCGUGAGGGAAAGGCGAAAAGAACCCCGGCGAGGGGAGUGAAAAAGAACCUGAAACCGUGUACGUACAAGCAGUGGGAGCACGCUUAGGCGUGUGACUGCGUACCUUUUGUAUAAUGGGUCAGCGACUUAUAUUCUGUAGCAAGGUUAACCGAAUAGGGGAGCCGAAGGGAAACCGAGUCUUAACUGGGCGUUAAGUUGCAGGGUAUAGACCCGAAACCCGGUGAUCUAGCCAUGGGCAGGUUGAAGGUUGGGUAACACUAACUGGAGGACCGAACCGACUAAUGUUGAAAAAUUAGCGGAUGACUUGUGGCUGGGGGUGAAAGGCCAAUCAAACCGGGAGAUAGCUGGUUCUCCCCGAAAGCUAUUUAGGUAGCGCCUCGUGAAUUCAUCUCCGGGGGUAGAGCACUGUUUCGGCAAGGGGGUCAUCCCGACUUACCAACCCGAUGCAAACUGCGAAUACCGGAGAAUGUUAUCACGGGAGACACACGGCGGGUGCUAACGUCCGUCGUGAAGAGGGAAACAACCCAGACCGCCAGCUAAGGUCCCAAAGUCAUGGUUAAGUGGGAAACGAUGUGGGAAGGCCCAGACAGCCAGGAUGUUGGCUUAGAAGCAGCCAUCAUUUAAAGAAAGCGUAAUAGCUCACUGGUCGAGUCGGCCUGCGCGGAAGAUGUAACGGGGCUAAACCAUGCACCGAAGCUGCGGCAGCGACGCUGAUGCGUUGUUGGGUAGGGGAGCGUUCUGUAAGCCUGCGAAGGUGUGCUGUGAGGCAUGCUGGAGGUAUCAGAAGUGCGAAUGCUGACAUAAGUAACGAUAAAGCGGGUGAAAAGCCCGCUCGCCGGAAGACCAAGGGUUCCUGUCCAACGUUAAUCGGGGCAGGGUGAGUCGACCCCUAAGGCGAGGCCGAAAGGCGUAGUCGAUGGGAAACAGGUUAAUAUUCCUGUACUUGGUGUUACUGCGAAGGGGGGACGGAGAAGGCUAUGUUGGCCGGGCGACGGUUGUCCCGGUUUAAGCGUGUAGGCUGGUUUUCCAGGCAAAUCCGGAAAACUAAGGCUGAGGCGUGAUGACGAGGCACUACGGUGCUGAAGCAACAAAUGCCCUGCUUCCAGGAAAAGCCUCUAAGCAUCAGGUAACAUCAAAUCGUACCCCAAACCGACACAGGUGGUCAGGUAGAGAAUACCAAGGCGCUUGAGAGAACUCGGGUGAAGGAACUAGGCAAAAUGGUGCCGUAACUUCGGGAGAAGGCACGCUGAUAUGUAGGUGAAGUCCCUCGCGGAUGGAGCUGAAAUCAGUCGAAGAUACCAGCUGGCUGCAACUGUUUAUUAAAAACACAGCACUGUGCAAACACGAAAGUGGACGUAUACGGUGUGACGCCUGCCCGGUGCCGGAAGGUUAAUUGAUGGGGUCAGCGCAAGCGAAGCUCUUGAUCGAAGCCCCGGUAAACGGCGGCCGUAACUAUAACGGUCCUAAGGUAGCGAAAUUCCUUGUCGGGUAAGUUCCGACCUGCACGAAUGGCGUAAUGAUGGCCAGGCUGUCUCCACCCGAGACUCAGUGAAAUUGAACUCGCUGUGAAGAUGCAGUGUACCCGCGGCAAGACGGAAAGACCCCGUGAACCUUUACUAUAGCUUGACACUGAACAUUGAGCAUUGAUGUGUAGGAUAGGUGGGAGGCUUUGAAGUGUGGACGCCAGUCUGCAUGGAGCCGACCUUGAAAUACCACCCUUUAAUGUUUGAUGUUCUAACGUUGACCCGUAAUCCGGGUUGCGGACAGUGUCUGGUGGGUAGUUUGACUGGGGCGGUCUCCUCCUAAAGAGUAACGGAGGAGCACGAAGGUUGGCUAAUCCUGGUCGGACAUCAGGAGGUUAGUGCAAUGGCAUAAGCCAGCUUGACUGCGAGCGUGACGGCGCGAGCAGGUGCGAAAGCAGGUCAUAGUGAUCCGGUGGUUCUGAAUGGAAGGGCCAUCGCUCAACGGAUAAAAGGUACUCCGGGGAUAACAGGCUGAUACCGCCCAAGAGUUCAUAUCGACGGCGGUGUUUGGCACCUCGAUGUCGGCUCAUCACAUCCUGGGGCUGAAGUAGGUCCCAAGGGUAUGGCUGUUCGCCAUUUAAAGUGGUACGCGAGCUGGGUUUAGAACGUCGUGAGACAGUUCGGUCCCUAUCUGCCGUGGGCGCUGGAGAACUGAGGGGGGCUGCUCCUAGUACGAGAGGACCGGAGUGGACGCAUCACUGGUGUUCGGGUUGUCAUGCCAAUGGCACUGCCCGGUAGCUAAAUGCGGAAGAGAUAAGUGCUGAAAGCAUCUAAGCACGAAACUUGCCCCGAGAUGAGUUCUCCCUGACUCCUUGAGAGUCCUGAAGGAACGUUGAAGACGACGACGUUGAUAGGCCGGGUGUGUAAGCGCAGCGAUGCGUUGAGCUAACCGGUACUAAUGAACCGUGAGGCUUAACCUUACAACGCCGAAG